CACGCAUUGACGGCCGGUACGAAACAACAUAAGUUGCGAUAAUUAAAAAUGUUGAUCGUAUUGAUAUCAUAGAUCUGGUCUAUACAAUGUGUCAACGGCCAAGAGAAGCCUCAAAACAAAACAAAAUAAUGAACCAAAUGGUCCAUAACAAAAUAACACAUUAUUCCCUCCCAAAAAAAUUGCCUAAGUCAAAGAAAUUAUUGACUACCCACCGUUCCAUCACCAUCACCAUCUUCAGCGCCUCGUCAGCUU
Molecule: long non-coding RNA, 252 nt
Filed under: Vigna radiata
Lineage: Eukaryota; Viridiplantae; Streptophyta; Magnoliopsida; Fabales; Fabaceae
Description: long non-coding RNA (VRAD_LNC011191)
Source: RNAcentral